UGGGGAAUAUUGGGCAAUGGGCGCAAGCCUGACCCAGCAACGCCGCGUGAGGGAAGAAGGCUUUCGGGUUGUAAACCUCUGUCCUUGGUGACGAAACAAAUGACGGUACCAUAGGAGGAAGCCCCGGCUAACUACGUGCCAGCAGCCGCGGUAAUACGUAGGGGGCAAGCGUUGUCCGGAAUUACUGGGCGUAAAGGGUGCGUAGGCGGUUUUUUAAGUCAGAUGUGAAAUACCCGGGCUUAACCUGGGGGGUGCAUCUGAUACUGGGGAACUUGAGUGCAGGAGAGGAAAGUGGAAUUCCUAGUGUAGCGGUGAAAUGCGUAGAUAUUAGGAGGAACACCAGUGGCGAAGGCGACUUUCUGGACUGUAACUGACGCUGAAGCACGAAAGCGUGGGGAGCGAACA
This 405-nucleotide ribosomal RNA is filed under the name uncultured prokaryote. RNAcentral's name for it is "bacterial SSU rRNA". It matches the Rfam family "Bacterial small subunit ribosomal RNA", at positions 355 to 774 of the family's 1533-position model. The record is from RNAcentral.